This 434-nucleotide ribosomal RNA is filed under the name uncultured bacterium. RNAcentral describes it as "partial 16S ribosomal RNA". It matches the Rfam family "Bacterial small subunit ribosomal RNA", at positions 29 to 507 of the family's 1533-position model. The record is from RNAcentral.
AGCGAACGCUGGCGGCAGGCCUAACACAUGCAAGUCGAACGACCCCUCCGGGGUUAGUGGCGGAUGGGUGUGUAACAUGUGGGACCGUGCCUUUAGGUUUGGAAUUCUACAGGGUAACUUGUGCUAAUACAGAAUGUGUUCUUCGGAGGCAAGAUUCAGCGUCUGUAGUGCGGCGCGCGUCCGUUUAGCUUGUUGGUGGUGGUAAUGGCGCACUAAGGCUAGGAUCAGUAAGUGGUCAGGGAGAAUGAUCAGCCACAUUGAGACUGGGACACGGCCCAAACUCCUGCAGGAGGCAGCAGUGGGGAAUCUUGCGAAAUGGGCGAAGGCCUGAAGCAGCCAGGCCUCGUGAAUGAUGAAGGUCUGAGGGAAGAAAAAUACUUUCACCGGGGACGGUAAUGACGGUACCCGAAGAAGAAGCCCCGGCUAACUUCGUG